UACGGAGGAUCCGAGCGUUGUCCGGAUUUAUUGGGUUUAAAGGGUGCGUAGGCGGUUUUAUAAGUCAGUGGUUUAAAGACUCUCGCUCAACGAGAGGGAUGCCAUUGAUACUGUAGAACUUGAGUACUGUAGAGGUAGGCGGAAUUGGUAGUGUAGCGGUGAAAUGCAUAGAUACUACCAGGAACACCGAUUGCGAAGGCAGCUUACUGGAGAGUAACUGACGCUGAGGCACGAAAGCGUGGGGAGCGAACAGG
RNAcentral lists this ribosomal RNA (254 nucleotides) under uncultured bacterium. RNAcentral's name for it is "partial 16S ribosomal RNA". It matches the Rfam family "Bacterial small subunit ribosomal RNA", at positions 524 to 776 of the family's 1533-position model. The record is from RNAcentral.